GACGAGCGCUGGCGGCGUGCCUAAUACAUGCAAGUUGAGCGCUGAAGGUUGGUACUUGUACCAACUGGAUGAGCAGCGAACGGGUGAGUAACGCGUGGGGAAUCUGCCUUUGAGCGGGGGACAACAUUUGGAAACGAAUGCUAAUACCGCAUAAAAACUUUAAACACAAGUUUUAAGUUUGAAAGAUGCAAUUGCAUCACUCAAAGAUGAUCCCGCGUUGUAUUAGCUAGUUGGUGAGGUAAAGGCUCACCAAGGCGAUGAUACAUAGCCGACCUGAGAGGGUGAUCGGCCACAUUGGGACUGAGACACGGCCCAAACUCCUACGGGAGGCAGCAGUAGGGAAUCUUCGGCAAUGGACGAAAGUCUGACCGAGCAACGCCGCGUGAGUGAAGAAGGUUUUCGGAUCGUAAAACUCUGUUGGUAGAGAAGAACGUUGGUGAGAGUGGAAAGCUCAUCAAGUGACGGUAACUACCCAGAAAGGGACGGCUAACUACGU
Molecule: ribosomal RNA, 496 nt
Filed under: uncultured bacterium
Lineage: Bacteria
Description: partial 16S ribosomal RNA
Rfam family: Bacterial small subunit ribosomal RNA
Source: RNAcentral